This 109-nucleotide ribosomal RNA is filed under the name Acipenser stellatus (stellate sturgeon). RNAcentral describes it as "partial 12S ribosomal RNA". Lineage: Eukaryota; Metazoa; Chordata; Actinopteri; Acipenseriformes; Acipenseridae. The record is from RNAcentral.
GCUUGGAGUGGACAGAAAUGGGCUACAUUUUCUCACACAGGAAAUACUCGAAUAACACUGUGAAAUCAGUGGUUGACGGUGGAGUUAUCAGUCUAAAGAAAAUAGAAAA